Molecule: unclassified non-coding RNA, 227 nt
Filed under: Hevea brasiliensis (rubber tree)
Lineage: Eukaryota; Viridiplantae; Streptophyta; Magnoliopsida; Malpighiales; Euphorbiaceae
Source: RNAcentral
GCUAGACACCCAUGUCUAGCAAGCAGAACCUCGUUUGGGGCCCAAGAAGCAUAGAAGACAUCUCACAAAAGGAUCAACCAAUCAACACUGGACAAGUUGGAUGAACUGGAUGAUGACGACAACUUACAAAGGAAUGGAAAUCACUCGGAAUUUUUAACUCUCGGAGUACCUGGUAAAUCAUCAUUUUUUUGACAAGCUUCCUCAUCACAUAGAUUGAGCUCAAUUUG